Molecule: microRNA precursor, 100 nt
Filed under: Lepisosteus oculatus (spotted gar)
Lineage: Eukaryota; Metazoa; Chordata; Actinopteri; Semionotiformes; Lepisosteidae
Description: Danio rerio miR-125b-1 stem-loop (ENSLOCG00000018467.1)
Rfam family: lin-4 microRNA precursor family (bases 13-83)
About the family: The extents of the hairpin precursors are not generally known and are estimated based on hairpin prediction. The products are thought to have regulatory roles through complementarity to mRNA.
Source: RNAcentral
CCAUUGUACCCCUCUCAAUCCCUGAGACCCUAACUUGUGACGUUUUGCUGUUAUGUCCACGGGUUAGGCUCUUGGGAGCUGCGAGCGGUGCUCAGACGUC